RNAcentral lists this non-coding RNA (230 nucleotides) under Limosilactobacillus reuteri. The record is from RNAcentral. Lineage: Bacteria; Bacillati; Bacillota; Bacilli; Lactobacillales; Lactobacillaceae.
UAGAAAACGUUGAAGGAAAUAACGAUUUGAAAUUGGUGACAGAGAAUUAGCGGGUGGUGUGAGCUGAUCGAGAUUUCUAAUUGUUAAUCGUUCCUGAGUUACCGGCUGAAACCAAGUAAGCUGAGGUUGGCUGCCAUCCAUUAUUUUGGCCACAAAUGAUUGUUUGUGAAUGAGAGGAUUGACUACGAGUUGAUCAAAGUAGGAUGGUACCGCGCAGAAGCGUUCUUACA